Molecule: ribosomal RNA, 468 nt
Filed under: uncultured bacterium
Lineage: Bacteria
Description: partial 16S ribosomal RNA
Rfam family: Bacterial small subunit ribosomal RNA
Source: RNAcentral
GACGAACGCUGGCGGCGUGCUUAACACAUGCAAGUCGAACGGAAAGGCCCUGCUUUUGUGGGGUGCUCGAGUGGCGAACGGGUGAGUAACACGUGAGUAACCUGCCCUUGACUUUGGGAUAACUUCAGGAAACUGGGGCUAAUACCGGAUAGGAGCUCCUGCUGCAUGGUGGGGGUUGGAAAGUUUCGGCGGUUGGGGAUGGACUCGCGGCUUAUCAGCUUGUUGGUGGGGUAGUGGCUUACCAAGGCUUUGACGGGUAGCCGGCCUGAGAGGGUGACCGGGCACAAUGGGACUGAGAUACGGACCAGAAUCCUACGGGAGGCAACAGUGGGGAAUAUUGCACAAUGGGCGGAAGCCAGAUGCAGCCACGCCGCGUGCGGGAUGACGGCCUUCGGGUUGUAAACCGCUUUCGCCUGUGACGAAGCGUGAGUGACGGUAAUGGGUAAAGAAGCACCGGCUAACUACGUG